GGUUGACCUCGAAUCAGGUAGGAAUACCCGCUGAACUUAAGCAUAUCA
RNAcentral lists this ribosomal RNA (48 nucleotides) under Phialoseptomonium eucalypti. Its description in RNAcentral is "partial 28S ribosomal RNA". The record is from RNAcentral. Lineage: Eukaryota; Fungi; Ascomycota; Sordariomycetes; Hypocreales; Nectriaceae.